Molecule: non-coding RNA, 534 nt
Organism: Cajanus cajan (pigeon pea)
Lineage: Eukaryota; Viridiplantae; Streptophyta; Magnoliopsida; Fabales; Fabaceae
Source: RefSeq, a predicted model, not a curated record
ACUCAAUGAUAAUUAAUUUGUAGGAGUUACUUUAGAUGCACUUACAAGUUUGAUCAAGGUUGUAAAGCAACCAAACAGGUGCAGCGAUGUGAAGAAAAUCCUGAUAUGUACCAAAUAACAUACAUUGGCUUGCACACAUGCAAUGCGUCUCUCCUCAAUAGGAAUGAUGAAAGUUUGCAUGAAGGAUCAGAUCUCGAAAUGCAGAAUCGGGAGAAUGAUAGCUUAUAUAGUCAAUUUCGAGGAAAACAGAAGAUAAUUGAUUAUGAAAGCUCAUGGUCCUUAUUAACUUUAAGUUCUGACAGAAACACUGAUACAACAUUGUCAAAUUCACACGAUUAUUCCGGCCCCUCGUGAAUUUAUCAUGUAUAUAGUUUUCGUUAAUUACUGUAAGUUAAUGUAUUUUGGUUUUUGAUUUCAAUACUCAUGAGAACUGAAAUUAUGAAUGAGAGGAAACAUAUAGAAUUAUAUAUCUUAAUAUUGGGAAUCUAGUUUAUUUAACUAUAAUGUAUCAAUAAGAAAAUAACAUUUUGUUGA